RNAcentral lists this ribosomal RNA (459 nucleotides) under uncultured bacterium. Its description in RNAcentral is "partial 16S ribosomal RNA". It matches the Rfam family "Bacterial small subunit ribosomal RNA", at positions 338 to 795 of the family's 1533-position model. The record is from RNAcentral.
CCUACGGGUGGCAGCAGUGAGGAAUAUUGGUCAAUGGACGAGAGUCUGAACCAGCCAAGUAGCGUGAAGGAUGACUGCCCUAUGGGUUGUAAACUUCUUUUAUAUGGGAAUAAAAUGUUCCACGUGUGGGAUUUUGUAUGUACCAUAUGAAUAAGGAUCGGCUAACUCCGUGCCAGCAGCCGCGGUAAUACGGAGGAUCCGAGCGUUAUCCGGAUUUAUUGGGUUUAAAGGGAUCGUAGGUGGAUUGUUAAGUCAGUUGUGAAAGUUUGCGGCUCAACCGUAAAAUUGCAGUUGAAACUGGCAGUCUUGAGUACAGUAGAGGUGGGCGGAAUUCGUGGUGUAGCGGUGAAAUGCUUAGAUAUCACGAAGAACUCCGAUUGCGAAGGCAGUUCACUGGACUGCAACUGACACUGAGGCUCGAAAGUGUGGGUAUCAAACAGGAUUAGAUACCCCUGUGUC